RNAcentral lists this long non-coding RNA (1247 nucleotides) under Numida meleagris (helmeted guineafowl). RNAcentral's name for it is "lncRNA (ENSNMEG00000010988.1)". Lineage: Eukaryota; Metazoa; Chordata; Aves; Galliformes; Numididae. The record is from RNAcentral.
AUUGCAAUAGGAGCACACAGGCAGAUCCCCAUGGGCCAUAUGCUGGCAGGGACAGAGUCCGCCUGUCCCAGAAAGGAAUCUUUCUUCCUCUGUGCUCUAAAAAGCAUUCCCCAACCCUGAAGCAGGAGUAAAGAAACAAAAUAACCACAGCGAUUCUGUGUUUGUUUGCUUUCAUACAAUGGGAUGAGAGGGAGAGGCACCGAACAGCUCCAUGGCCGGACCUCAACCCGAGCAGGGGCAGGCAGAGCCAUCCCGCUGCAGGCUGGGAGCGGGGCAGGCUGGGAGCAGCGUGCAACCAGGAGCUCUUGUACCUGACAGCGUAUUUUCCCCUCUUGCAGAAUCGCUUCUGACCAUAAUCACACUUCAGAGUGAAAUCGGAGGUGGUGUCAGUUCUUGGUUUCACAGCACGGCCGCAUUAGUAUGCGAGUACGAGGCACGCAGCAGAAAUAUUCCUGCCUGCAGAGAGCUCUUGGAUAGAAGCAUUAAGGAGGGGAGUGAGAAGCAAGAAAUGGAAAAAUGUUCUUUGCCAAUAAAUAAAGCAUCAGGCACAUCUUCAGCUGCGGGAUUAACACCCCGUCCCUGCGCAGCGCAGCCCUCGCAUUCAUGGCCACUAUGGACCGAGCCCGCCUGACCCAGUCUGCCCGUGAUCGUCCCCACUGCAGGGACAGCCGUGGGACAGCUCCCACCAGCAGCACCGCAGCCACCCCAUGUCACAGAGCCACAGCAUCAUUCAGGAUGGAAAAGCCCUCUCAGAUCCCCACCCCACCGCACCCCAUGUCCCUGGGCAGCUGUGCCCGUGCAUCACCGCUCUAUUGGAGGAGCAAUAGUUCCUGAUACCCUGCGCUGUGAGCCCAGCCAGGUACGCGUGCCACAAGGCCCCCCCAGAGCUGGGUGUGUAUUAUUACAUCUACAGCAGAAAUUGAACCAGGGUGAUCCCGCUCCAAAUUGUUCGACUGCAUCGAAACGACGUGGCAGAUGCACUCACUUUUGAGCGGUGUGUUUGUUUGCCACAUAAACUUGGGUCACUGGGGUUGUACUGCAGCUCAUUAAUUAAUGCAUCUCUGCUUUAGAUCUGGCCGCAACGCUGCUGGCCAAUGCCAUGGGAAUGUUGUUCUGCAAAGGAACAGACACGCCAGUGCUGGCCACGCUCUGAUUUUCUGGUCUACAAACAGCACCGCUAUUUAUUCUGGAUUUCCAUACAAAGCUAAAAUUCUCUGCAAAAUAAAAAUUCCAAUAAAAUUCUUUCA